AGCCUGUACUUCCCGGAACAGUCAUUAAAACUCAAGAGAUGAAAAAUGGCUUUUUGAGCAAUAGACCUCUGGUAUCCAAGGGAUUUUAGUCUGUAUUUAAAUGGAUUAAACAGAGGGAUCACACUAGCUACAUGACAGUGUAGAACGCUUAGUUUAUUCCCCAGCCCUUCAGUAUUUCUCCUUCCUCCAGCUCAGCAGAAGAAAGAGAGAAAAACAUGAAUAAACUUCAACUCAUCUGUUUUUUAGUUCUCCUCCUCUCUUGCAGCUUGGCUGAAGCCCUCAAAUGCAAUGUCUGCUUGGACUACAGAGCUGGAAAACCCUGUCUCAAAGGAAAGGGGGUCUGCACAGCUCGCCCUGGAGAGCAAUGCGUCUAUACCAGGAUCAUAAGCAGAGAGAAGAACUCUGCUACAAGAGGGUGCAAAAAAACAAGUGAGAACUGCAACAAAACAAUUAAGAAAGCUGGUACAAUAACAAUAACAACUUGCUGUAGCUACCCUGACUUUUGCAUGUAUCAAAUCAAGAAACCCGGAAAAUGAAACAAAAAUAAGAAUAUUUUUUUCUGUAUCUGAAAUACUCCGAGCUCAGUUGAUUUCUGAAUCACCACUGUUUUGCACACUCGUUUGCUUUUGCUGCUUUCUAGUUUUCUCUGUUUCCCCUUGUUUAUUGAUGUAUUCUUUUUACUCACAAUAAAAGCCUCAGACUUUAGAGUAAUCGUUUUGGA
RNAcentral lists this long non-coding RNA (721 nucleotides) under Pogona vitticeps (central bearded dragon). RNAcentral describes it as "lncRNA (ENSPVIG00000011031.1)". Lineage: Eukaryota; Metazoa; Chordata; Lepidosauria; Squamata; Agamidae. The record is from RNAcentral.